GAUGAACGCUGGCGGCGUGCCUAAUACAUGCAAGUCGAGCGAACAGACGAGGAGCUUGCUCCUCUGACGUUAGCGGCGGACGGGGGAGUAACACGUGGAUAACCUACCUAUAAGACUGGGAUAACUUCGGGAAACCGGAGCUAAUACCGGAUAAUAUAUUGAACCGCAUGGUUCAAUAGUGAAAGACGGUUUUGCUGUCACUUAUAGAUGGAUCCGCGCCGCAUUAGCUAGUUGGUAAGGUAACGGCUUACCAAGGCAACGAUGCGUAGCCGACCUGAGAGGGUGAUCGGCCACACUGGAACUGAGACACGGUCCAGACUCCGACGGGAGGCAGCAGUAGGGAAUCUUCCGCAAUGGGCGAAAGCCUGACGGAGCAACGCCGCGUGAGUGAUGAAGGUCUUCGGAUCGUAAAACUCUGUUAUUAGGGAAGAACAAAUGUGUAAGUAACUAUGCACGUCUUGACGGUACCUAAUCAGAAAGCCACGGCUAACUACGUG
This 497-nucleotide ribosomal RNA is filed under the name uncultured bacterium. RNAcentral's name for it is "partial 16S ribosomal RNA". It matches the Rfam family "Bacterial small subunit ribosomal RNA", at positions 28 to 507 of the family's 1533-position model. The record is from RNAcentral.